RNAcentral lists this ribosomal RNA (253 nucleotides) under uncultured bacterium. RNAcentral's name for it is "partial 16S ribosomal RNA". It matches the Rfam family "Bacterial small subunit ribosomal RNA", at positions 524 to 776 of the family's 1533-position model. The record is from RNAcentral.
UACGAGAGGCCCAAACGUUAUUCGGAAUCACUGGGCUUACAGAGUUCGUAGGCGGUCUGGAAAGUUGGGUGUGAAAUCCCUCGGCCUAACCGAGGAACUGCGCUUGAAACUACCAGACUCGAGGGAGAUAGAGGAAAGCGGAACUGAUGGUGGAGCGGUGAAAUGCGUUGAUAUCAUCAGGAACACCGGUGGCGAAGGCGGCUUUCUGGGUCUUACCUGACGCUGAGGAACGAAAGCCAGGGGAGCGAACGGG